AAACGACUCUCGGCAACGGAUAUCCCGGCUCUCGCAUCGAUGAAGAACGUAGCGAAAUGCGAUACUUGGUGUGAAUUGCAGAAUCCCGUGAACCAUCGAGUUUUUGAACGCAAGUUGCGCCCGAUGCCAUUAGGCUGAGGGCACGUCUGCCUGGGUGUCABGU
This 163-nucleotide ribosomal RNA is filed under the name Bupleurum commelynoideum. RNAcentral describes it as "5.8S ribosomal RNA". It matches the Rfam family "5.8S ribosomal RNA". From Rfam's summary of the family: 5.8S ribosomal RNA (5.8S rRNA) is a component of the large subunit of the eukaryotic ribosome. It is transcribed by RNA polymerase I as part of the 45S precursor that also contains 18S and 28S rRNA. Functionally, it is thought that 5.8S rRNA may be involved in ribosome translocation. The record is from RNAcentral. Lineage: Eukaryota; Viridiplantae; Streptophyta; Magnoliopsida; Apiales; Apiaceae.